AUUGAACGCUGGCGGCAUGCUUUACACAUGCAAGUCGAACGGUAACAGGCUAAGCUGACGAGUGGCGAACGGGUAAGUAAUGCAUCGGAACGUGCCCGGUCGUGGGGGAUAACGCAGCGAAAGCUGCGCUAAUACCGCAUACGAUCUGAGGAUGAAAGCGGGGGACCGUAAGGCCUCGCGCGAUCGGAGCGGCCGAUGUCAGAUUAGGUAGUUGGUGGGGUAAAGGCUCACCAAGCCAACGAUCUGUAGCUGGUCUGAGAGGACGACCAGCCACACUGGGACUGAGACACGGCCCAGACUCCUACGGGAGGCAGCAGUGGGGAAUUUUGGACAAUGGGCGAAAGCCUGAUCCAGCAAUGCCGCGUGCAGGAAGAAGGCCUUCGGGUUGUAAACUGCUUUUGUACGGAGCGAAAAGGUCUCCUCUAAUACAGGGGGCUCAUGACGGUACCGUAAGAAUAAGCACCGGCUAACUACGUGCCAGCCGCCGCAGUAA
RNAcentral lists this ribosomal RNA (493 nucleotides) under uncultured bacterium. Its description in RNAcentral is "partial 16S ribosomal RNA". It matches the Rfam family "Bacterial small subunit ribosomal RNA", at positions 29 to 523 of the family's 1533-position model. The record is from RNAcentral.